UUUCUUUCUUUCUUUCUUUUUUUUUUUUUCUCUUUGUAGUACUGGCUGUCCUGGAACUUGCUUUGCUUUGUAGACCAGGCUGACUAUACUCUGUAGCUGUCUUCAGACACACCAGAGAGGGCAUCAGAUCACAUUGCAGAUGGUUGUGAGACUAUGUGGUUGCUGGGUUAGUGUUCCCACUAACUUAGAGUUUCUGUUGCUAUGAUAAAACACCAUCAUCAAAAGCAGCUUACACUUCCAUGUCAUUGAAGGCAGUCAGUGCAGGAACUCAAGAUAAGAACCUGGAAGUAGGGGGCUGGAAAGAGGCUCAGUGGUUAAAAGCACUGACUGCUCUUCCAGAGGUCCUGAGUUCAAUUCCCAGCAACCACAUGGUUUGAUGCCCUCUUCUGGUGUGUCUGAAGACAGUGACAGUGCACUCCCAUAUAUAAAAUACAUAAAUAAAUCUUUAAAAAAAAAGAAAAAGGAAAAAAAGGAAUCUGGAAGUAGGACGUAAAACAGAAGCCAUAGAGGAAGCUUGAUCCUCUUGACUUGCUUGCCUGCUUUCUUACAUAGCCCAGGCAGCACCCCUUACCCAGAGAUAGCAGAGCCCACAUGAUUGACAGGGAGAUAAAGGGAUUGGGGUGAGGGUCCUGGAGAAAUGGCUCAGUGGUGAAGAACACUAGAUGCUCUUCCUGAGGACGCGUUAGAUUCCUAACACCUACAUGGGAGCUAGCAACAGUUGUAAUUCCAGUUCUAGGGGAUCCAAUACCCUCUUCUGCCCUCCUCAGGACCAGAGAUAUACAUGUGGGCAAAACACUCAAACACAUAAGAUAAAAAUAUUUUUUACAUGUCCCCGGACUUGUUACAGGCAGAUCUUAUUAUGAAGGUAUUUUCUCAGUUGUGAUUUCCUCUUACUAGAUAAUGCUAGCUUUUGCCAAGUUGACAAAAACAACCGCAACAACAAAAACUCCAACCCUUUGUAAAGGGUUUUUAUUUUGAGACAAGAACUCCUUAGGUUGUCCAGGUAGAUCUGAACUUAUUCUUUAUCCUUGGCAGGCCCUUGAACUUGUGAUCCCCCUGCCUCAACCUUUUGAAGGAUUAUAGACCUGAUUCCCCCGGCCCAUGUGCAUUUUCUGUGGGGAUGUACACCUAUUUGUGUGUAUGUGGGGUGGGCAUGAUGUGCACAUUUGUACAGGGGCCUGUGGGAGCCAGAGGUCGGUGGCAGAUGUCUUCCUUGACUGUUUUUCACCCCCUCCUUUUUGUUGUUCUUGUUGAACUAAUCUAUUUAUUAGGGAAGUGUAAUCCCCAAAGAAUCUAUAUGGAUGUCACUGUCAAAGGCAAGAACUUAAAAGGUAUAAACAACUCUACAGAAAUCAGAUUACCAAAACUGUUAGUUUAAAACAUUUUAGAAAUGUUCCUUUGGAAGGGGUGAUAGGUUACCUUUCUGAAAUCAAGGCUCACUGAUGCCAUUUGGAAAAUAAAACAAAAACAAAAAAACCCAAAACUGGGAUUCAGCUCCCCCCACAGCAGCCUCCAUCUUAAAUUUUGAGACAGAGUCUUCAACUGAAUCUGGAGUUUAUUGAUUUGGGGGUAGCUGUCACUAAGGAGCCACCUAUCUCCACCAGUACCAGCCCUGGGUUGCAGACAUGCCUGGCUUGUUUAAAUGUGGAGUUGAGUAUCUUGAGCUCAGGUCUCAUGGUUGUGAGGCAGGUACUUUACCAUCUAAGCCAUCACACUCCUGCGUGGCUUUUUUGUUGCUGCUUUUUGUUGUUGUUGGUUUGGUUUUUUUAACUUGUUUUUGUAGAAACCAUUGUUUCUUACUAAACUAAUAGUAUCUGACUCCCUCAAGAACCAUAUUUUUUUGUUGCUGUUGUUGUUAUUGUUUGUUUGCAGUGUUGGAAAUCAAAUAGGGGACCUAGUAUAUGUUAGGCAAGAGUUCUACCAUUAAGCUGCAUCUCAGCCUGGUAACCACUUUAUUUACUAAGCUACCUCUUUCUUUCUAAGCCCUGGUACUCUUUUCUUUAAGCCUCCUUUAAGGCUCCUGUUUCUCACUGAGCUUUCUUGGUCUUUUUUUAUUUGCCCUCUGUGUCCAGUGAUUCCCUUCUAAGCAGCUAUGGCUCUGGUUGUCUGUCUCUUAUUAGAACACUCAUGUUUCCUUUCUUCUGUGUAAUGUUUUUGAUGGAAGUCUUAUCUUCUAAACUAGGUUUUCAUCUUCAUCAAGCAAGGAGCAUAUCUUAUUACCAUUUUAUAGACGUCUUCCAUAGAUCUGUGUUUGAUGAAUAUCUGUUUAAUAUUCAGUUCUCACUCAGCUGUCCAAAAAAAAAAAUGCUCUGUUUUGUGAUCACUAAUUCUUGAUUCUAGGCAUAUUUCAAGACUUUGUACUUUUGUUUAGAUUCCAGAUCUCUAUCUUUGUCAGCCAUAGUAAGGUUGAAGGCCAAGCCUUCAUUUCUUUGCUGAUGACACUGUUGGUUGGCUCAGUGUUCCAAUCUUUUUGAUAGAACAUAACAUAUGCAAUUUCUAUCUUGCAAAAUAGAUAUUUAAAUAUUAAGUAUGCAUUUCAGAUAUAUUUAUUAUUUCAAAGAAACAACUACAACAUCACUGCUACUGAGAAUUAUGAAUGUUCUUCCUUUAUCCUUUUACCUUUAUCCUUUUACCUUGCGGCAUAAUCCUCUGCUGGAAAGGACUGGGAGAAUGGGGAGGGAGUCAGCAAACACCCCACUCCCACUGUUUUCCCUUGCACUCUGUAAGCACCUACUUGGUUUUAUAGAGAGGUGUCAUUUGUGAUGUAUCUUUGAUUCCUGAGCUGGAACCCCAGGACCUUGGGCAUUGGAGACAAGGGCUAGAGGGAAUGUCGAUUUGUGUGUGAAUGACCAUAUUUUUAUUUUAUUCAAGUAUGGUAGGAACCACAAGUAAAGAGUUUUUUCCUAUUAAAAAGUUAAGUUAGUUACAGCUUCCAAGAGAAGGGUCCCAAGGGGAGGAAGAAGGGUGCCAUGUAGCGUAUAACACAAGGCUGUCUUGGAAAUUACAAGGAGGCAAGGGGAAAGCAUAGGUUAUCAAAGGGAAGAGUGAGUGAGGUAGAGUAGGUGGGCUGCGUAAAGCUUAGGACUCUGAACUAUAGGAGGGGUUGCUAGUUGUCCAUACCUUGCCCUGAAUGAAAACUGUCUACUGGCUGGUUUGUAUAUUAAAGACAUGUCUCUUGAUAUUAGCCCUGGGAGAACUAGUUCUUUGUCUGUAAGACCUGAAGAUGUCAACGCCUCAUAAAAUACAGAAAAAUUUAAGAACACAACUAAUACAUUAUCAUCACAAACACAUGCAUAUAGUGCAUUUGCUUCUGAGUAAUUUAUUUUGACCUUCUGAAGUCUGUUUGUAGACGAACACCUUACAACCUAAUUUGGGCAGGGCGGUGUGGUGGUGUACGCCUUUAAUCCCAGCACUUGGGAGGCAGAAGCAGGUGGAUUUCUGAGUUCGAGCACAGAAAAAAAAAAAAAAAAAACUGUCUGGAAUCUGGAAACAAACAAACAAAAACAGACCCCCCCCC
This 3517-nucleotide long non-coding RNA is filed under the name Mus musculus (house mouse). RNAcentral's name for it is "long non-coding RNA chr2:91848851-91852368". Lineage: Eukaryota; Metazoa; Chordata; Mammalia; Rodentia; Muridae. The record is from RNAcentral.